RNAcentral lists this ribosomal RNA (161 nucleotides) under Paenibacillus polymyxa. RNAcentral describes it as "partial 16S ribosomal RNA". It matches the Rfam family "Bacterial small subunit ribosomal RNA", at positions 1 to 154 of the family's 1533-position model. Lineage: Bacteria; Bacillati; Bacillota; Bacilli; Caryophanales; Paenibacillaceae. The record is from RNAcentral.
UUAAUGGAGAGUUUGAUCCUGGCUCAGGACGAACGCUGGCGGCGUGCCUAAUACAUGCAAGUCGAGCGGGAUUAGUUAGAAGCUUGCUUCUAACUAAUCUAGCGGCGGACGGGUGAGUAACACGUAGGCAACCUGCCCACAAGACAGGGAUAACUACCGGA